AGCCCCGUCGUCUAGUGGUCAAGGAUAUGGGCCUCUGGAGCCUAGGACGGCAGUUCGAAUCUGCCCGGGGCUA
Molecule: transfer RNA, 73 nt
Filed under: Candidatus Micrarchaeota archaeon CG1_02_60_51
Lineage: Archaea; Nanobdellati; Microcaldota
Also listed under: 6 other names
Description: tRNA-Gln
Rfam family: tRNA
About the family: Transfer RNA (tRNA) molecules are approximately 80 nucleotides in length. Their secondary structure includes four short double-helical elements and three loops (D, anti-codon, and T loops).
Source: RNAcentral